GCUGGGCAAGGCAGUGCACGCCUGUAAUCCCACCAGCGUGGGAGGCUGAGACAGGAGAAUUGUGAGUUCAAAGUCGGCCUCAGCAAAAAUGAGGUGCUAAGCAGCUCAGUGAGACCCUGUCUCUA
Molecule: small RNA, 125 nt
Filed under: Marmota monax (woodchuck)
Lineage: Eukaryota; Metazoa; Chordata; Mammalia; Rodentia; Sciuridae
Source: RNAcentral